This 1402-nucleotide long non-coding RNA is filed under the name Mus musculus (house mouse). RNAcentral describes it as "predicted gene, 57220". Lineage: Eukaryota; Metazoa; Chordata; Mammalia; Rodentia; Muridae. The record is from RNAcentral.
AUCCCCCAUCUUUCUUCGGGUUGCUAGCAGCUCACGUUCAUCCGGGUGCACUAUCUGGAAGUUCUUGACUGAAGCCCGCGUGACGCGACCGUGAAAAUUGAGUACGUAUGCGCCGCUUUCGUCGCUCCACGAUGGGGCCUUGUUCUGCAGUAGAAGCAGCCCGUGUCCAGCGCCCUUCUGUACGCGACUCAAUAUGGAAUCCUGAUCCUUGAAGAUACAGUAGGGGGCAUCGUUUGUUAGCCCACCAGAAGCCCGAUUUUUAGUCCAUGUGCAUAUAUGUUAUUUGUUUUGUUUGUUUGAGAAUCAGUUUCUCUAGAUUGCCAGGUUUACUUUUUGUUUCUUUUUUUUUUCUUUAAAGAUUUAUUUAUUUAUUAUAUAUAAGUACACUAUAGAUGUCUUUAGACACCAGUAGAGGGUGUCAGAUCUCAUUACAGAUGGUUGUGAGCCAUCAUGUGGUUGCUGGGAUUUGAACUCAACCUUCAGAAGAGCAGUCAGUGCUCUUAACGGCUGAGCCAUCUCUUCAGCCCCUACUUUUUGUUUCUUGAGACAGAAUUUUUUCUGUGUAGCUCUGUGUCCUGGAACUUACUCUGUAGACAGAGAUCUGCCUGCCCUCUGCCCCCACUCCUACCUCCUCCCCGAGUCCUGAGAUAGAUUUAUUUAUUUAUUUAUUUUAAGACAAGGUCUCACUGUAUAACCCUGGCUGGCCUGGAACUCGUAAUUUAGAUGGGACUAGUCUCCAAUUUAAGAGGUCGGCCUUUCCUCUCCAACUAGGGAGUAAUACAUGCUUUGCUAAUCACUGAGCCAUCUCUCCAGCCCUAGCCUCAGAAGUUUUGAGUCUCAGGAAGUUUCUGGGAUGGAACUCUGGCAAAGCCAUUCAAGAUUCACACAUGACCUGAUAGCCGUUGUCCCACCUGAGAUCUAUGAUGGAGUUCUCUCUUAGCGUUGAGAAUUCAAACUUUAAAAACUCAAACUCAAAAAAACCCAAAAACAAACAAAAACAAAACCUCACAUUUUGUGGCUGGACUUUCAUCCUCUGCUUCCGGCUGUCCAUUCCUGGAAGGAUCACAGUCAUUUUCCGAGGCCCCCUGAAUCCCAAGACAUUGGUCUCCUGGCAAGAUAGUUUGCAUUGCAGUUGGUCUGACCCUGUGCUUUCCUAUCUACUGGCACCCCUAUUCUGCCCCUGCCCGAGGACUUACAUAACAGACGACUCCCAGCUCCUCUCUGAUCCGGGCACUGUCUGGAACCCAGUAACUCCGCUCAGGGUUCACCCCAUUAUCGAAGAUGGUGAAUUUCGUGCCCAAGACAUUGGAUCUGCUCCAGGAGGGUGGUGGACAGAGUGACAAUCAUGUUUGUGAUUCUUCUUCUUCUUUUUUUUUUUUUAAUAAAGAUUUUAUUUUAUGUA